CGUGAUACAUUAGCCAAUUAAAUGAUGACAUGUGGCACUUUUUAUUUUUUAUUUUUACUUUUAACUAAAUCUUAGAGACAUCUCUAUAAUUAUUUCAAAAUAAUAAUAAAAUUAACUAAAAAAAACUUCUAAACCAAUUUUUUAAGAAAACAAUAUUAGUACUGUAUAAACCCAAAUGUGCCCAGGCCCAAUCUAAUACCCAUUUUACAUUAUAAUACUCAGGCCCAAACCAACAAACAAUACAGACCUUAGCCCAAAACUAAAAAGAAAAAAAGAAAACCCUAGCAGCACUAUGCGCCCUAGCCACAGCUGCCUCCGUGCCUCCAGCAGAUGUCCCAAGCGGCGCACGCCUCGGGGCCAAUCCUCCCUACGUGCGCGCCGCUCCCACGCCCAACAAUCCCCCUUGCACUCCGUAGAUCGCGCCGCCCGCC
RNAcentral lists this long non-coding RNA (431 nucleotides) under Gossypium raimondii (Peruvian cotton). RNAcentral's name for it is "long non-coding RNA (GRAI_LNC010084)". Lineage: Eukaryota; Viridiplantae; Streptophyta; Magnoliopsida; Malvales; Malvaceae. The record is from RNAcentral.